This is a long non-coding RNA of Leopardus geoffroyi (Geoffroy's cat), 1919 nucleotides long. RefSeq lists it as uncharacterized. NCBI's taxonomy places the organism in Eukaryota, Metazoa, Chordata, Mammalia, Carnivora, Felidae. The record is from RefSeq and is a predicted model, not a curated record. The transcript is spliced from 3 exons.
UAAAAGCCAGGCAGCUGGGCUCCAGAGGCUGUGCAGUCCCCCACUAGGUCGGGGCAGUUUGUCAGAGAGGCAAAUCACUUAGUGGAAAUCCAUUGCCCUGUUGAGAUCGGUCCAAAGUCGCAUUAGACACAGUUUGUGAAGGGUUGAUGCCCUAGGAGGGAAAAAUGCUAGUGAGUCAGUGACUCAAAACUCUAAUCCUUGCUUUCCAUGGUUUGAUUGUCUGACACACCCAGUUUCAGGCAGGGUCAUCGAGCUAAGGGCAGCCAGGCUUUCUUGUCUUUCCUCGGUGUACCAGUGGGAGCGGAAAUUACAGCACGCCACGGGAGGGGAGCUGAAGAAGAGGCCAGCCCACAGAGCCACAUGUCCCGCAUCAAAAGAGCAGACUUACUGAAGAAUGUCAGCCACGAGUAGGGGUUAGCGACGUGCAAACGAAGACGAGCUGUGUUAUAGUGAACUCUACAGCCUUAAUCCUGGCAUCCUGAGUAAUGCAUCCAGGCUCAAGGUGGCAGGGGCCCACACUGCUAGGACCUGUUAGCAAAGUACGGCUUGUUGUAUCUGUCUCUCCCGAGCCUAGUACAGUCCUGGUUUCAUCAUGGUGGUUGACUCACCCCAUGUCAAGCUAUGGAUUCUUCAAGCUAUACCCACAGCAAAAAAAUAGGCAUUUGAAAUAUUUUGUUCAAAAAGAAUUUGAUGAUAAUUUGAUGUUUCUAAUAAGUUGUAACUCUGGUAUUGAAAGAAUGUAUGUGCUCAAAAAGUCAAGAAAUAAACUUUUAAUAUCAAAACAUUAUUAUUUCUAUGUGUUUUAUAAAUAAACUUUUUAUUAAGGUCCCUCACAAAUUCAGGAUUAAAAAAGUGGGGAGUCUGUGCAAAAAGAGAAUUUUAGAAUGUGUUAGGACAUAAGUACAGGCAUUUCUUUUGAAAAACAAACAAACAAAAACCACAUACACGCACACGCUGACGUUUAGAAAGUGCCCCUGGUAGAGGGAGGCAGAGAGAAGCAGAGCAUGCGCGAUAGAAGCUGGUGGAGGAAGCGUUAGGUCAUCUGCUCCACCCGCCGCAGUGAGAUUAUCCCCCAUACGGCAGUUUAUGUUUCUGCGGUUUCCUGAGGGUUUGGGCUCGUUUUAAGUAAUUUUCUUCAAGGUCCUCUAAGUCAGUUUAAAAUUAUUUUGUGAACUAUUCACGCUAUCAUACGCUCCAGCCAAAUCUACCACAAUCUAAUAAGCAUCUGGAUAUAUGCUCAAUGCAACACGGCCUGGAGUCUCCUUUCCUUACAUUUUAGCUCUCCACUCGGAUCUCUUUGCCUCCCUGGUGUUUCAGUUUUUCCCAGGCACUGACUGCACCCCCUCUUGAGACACCAAUCCACCAGAGACUCGUUAAGAUGCGUGUGUGUGUCUCCAACCAGAGAUUUUACAAAAUGAACUGAAUAUAAGGUGGUAAGAAGUAGGUCAUUCUUGAGGGUUAUAACUUUUUUGGUCUUUGCUUCAUUUUCAUUUCAGCCAGCAUCGGGUAUUUCUUGAAGCUCAAUUAUGAGAAAGACACUGAGCCAUAGCUGUUCGGCCCUGGACUUUGCACAGAUUUUCUCUCCCUCCUCUGCCUCAAGGUGAUCAUACCCACUCACUCACUCACUCACAUAAACAUCGUUGUCCCCAUCUGCUUUUUUCUUUCUUUUUUCUUUUUUCUUUUUUUUUUUUUUUUUAACAUUUAGUACUUGUUUAAUGUUUUAUUCUCUGAGGUCACAAAGUUGACUUAGAAGAGUUUUUCUCAAACUUCCCAGUUGAAAAUAAUCACCUGGGGCAAAAAUACAGUUUCUUGGGCCUUCUGAGUCAGUUUAGCAUUAUUUAAUGAAAUUAUAUGUAAUUAUUUAAAUAUAAAUAAAAGAAAGUUCAUGUAUUCCUUGGCAUAUAUGUUCAGUAGGGCUA